RNAcentral lists this ribosomal RNA (492 nucleotides) under uncultured bacterium. Its description in RNAcentral is "partial 16S ribosomal RNA". It matches the Rfam family "Bacterial small subunit ribosomal RNA", at positions 29 to 507 of the family's 1533-position model. The record is from RNAcentral.
AGUGAACGCUGGCGGUAGGCCUAACACAUGCAAGUCGAACGGCAGCACAGUAAGAUCUUGCUCUUACGGGUGGCGAGUGGCGGACGGGUGAGGAAUACAUCGGAAUCUACUUUUUCGUGGGGGAUAACGUAGGGAAACUUACGCUAAUACCGCAUACGACCUACGGGUGAAAGCAGUGGAUCUUCUGACCUUGCGCGAUUGAAUGAGCCGAUGUCGCAUUAGCUUGUGGGGGGGGUAAAGUCCCACCAAGGCGACGAUCCGUAGCUGGACUGAGAGGAUGGUCGGCCGCACUAGAAGUGAGACACGGUCCAGACUACUACGGGACGCAGCAGUGGGGAAUAGUGGGCAAUGGGCGGGAACCUGAUCCAGCCACACCGAGUGUGUGACGGAGGCCCUCGGGUUGUAAAGCCCUCUUUUUGGGAGAGAACAGCAGCCGCUUAAUACCACGCGGUUGUGACGGUACUGAAUGAAUAAGCACCGGCUAACUACGUG